Molecule: long non-coding RNA, 1327 nt
Filed under: Medicago truncatula (barrel medic)
Lineage: Eukaryota; Viridiplantae; Streptophyta; Magnoliopsida; Fabales; Fabaceae
Description: long non-coding RNA (MTRU_LNC000571)
Source: RNAcentral
AAAAAAAAUUACAUUAAGAGAAAGGUAAAUUUAAUGUGGCAAUUAAUAUAAUUUUGUGCAUGUUUUGGUUAAUGUAUAAAUUGAUAUGCAAGUUAUGUUUUCCGGCAUAACUACUGAAAAAACUUGAUGCCGAAAUAAAUGUAUUGGUUAAUAAAGUCGCGUAUGUGUUUCACCAUUUAAAGCAAAACUUUAUUAUGGCAACAUAUAGAGGAACGAGUUCUAAGGAAACGGUUGAAGACUCUAGCCGUAUUUUUUUUAUUCCUUGAGUACAGAAAUUAGUUUUUGUAUAUAUAUUAAGGAUUUCUUAUUUCUUAUAUAUUACAUUAUUAAUUGUUACUAUGUGGAAUACGAACGUGAGUUGUGAGAGGUCUUCGUGUGAAAGUCGUAAAGAAAUAGGAGAGUAAAUAAAAUAAAUAUGAUUUUUUUUAAAUAACGUUUUCGCAUGUGGCAUGACACAUCAUUAAAUGAUUCCAAGUGGCAUCCUAAUGUCAUCAUUUUUUCAAUGACAUAUCAUAUUCUGAUGACACGAUUAAAAGUGAGUUAAAAUAUGAAGAAUUCAAAAGCAACAUGUAUAUAUAAAUGAAGAGAAUUAUAUUUUACAUAUUACCGCUGAAAAGUUAUUCUCUUACUUUUAUAUAACAAUUGACCCUUACUUUGACGUGGUAAAUAAGGCUUGACAUUAAAUAAAAAAUUAUGACAUUCAAUAAAUUUGUAUUUAUCUAAAAAACAACAAUAAUUUAUUGCUUGCUAUAUAAAAAUAAUAUUUUUACCGCUUAAGUGAAGUAACAACUCGAUCAUUGCUUCAAAGUGGUUCACCCAAAUCAGGUUUAGUCAUAAUCUACGUAAGAUAACAAUUAUUAUCGAUUACAUGUAAACUAUUCCACCAUGAUUAAAUUGGAAUUAAAUCAACAGAUCAAGUAACAAACUCUAGUAUUGAAAAGAUUAAGGUAAAACAUUGUUUUAUAAUUGAUCUAUUGGUGGAUAAGUUUAUUAUGAGAUUUUAAAAUAGUAUAUAAAUAGUAUAAAAAAUGAAAAUUCUAUGAUGAUGAUUUAUAUAGGCAUCAUAGAUUCAAUUCAACAUUAGCAUAACAUUUGUCAACAACCACACAGAAAUAUUUUGUCAAAAACCACACAAAAAUGCUAUAAAUUAACAAAAAAUAAAACAAAGUAAAAAUAUUCAAAAUAUAAUAUUAUUGUAUAAAAAGACAAGCAAAAUGAAACAAAAAAUUUCUUAAAAAACGACAUGUAUAUAAAGAUAAAAAGAUUUGUAUUUAACAUAUUACCGCUGAAAAGUUAUUCUUUUACUUUGAUGUAACGAAUGACUCUC